Molecule: non-coding RNA, 2038 nt
Organism: Monodelphis domestica (gray short-tailed opossum)
Lineage: Eukaryota; Metazoa; Chordata; Mammalia; Didelphimorphia; Didelphidae
Source: RefSeq, a predicted model, not a curated record
CCCUUCCUUCAGACACAGCAUCUGUUGAUUCUAUUUGUGACUUCUAACAGUUCUGCUAGUGGGCUGAAGGUGGUGGCAGCCUGAAUGUAGGUGACUGUCUGUAGAUCAUUGCCAAGGGCAAGCAGGCACGGGGAGGAAAAAGACUCAAAAAGACUUAAAGCAAGGUCAAGGCCAUGGACAAUGAAGGAAUUUGUUUUGCUCGACUCUGCAGAUCGGAUGGGAAAUAAUGAACUGGAGGAAUUCCACGUGAACUGGAACGACCUCCAGGAAGUGAUGCAGAGUGAAAGGAACAUAACGAGGACAUUGUACAUAGAGACGGAUACACUGUGGCACAAUCGAAUGUAAUGGACUUCUCUACUAGUGGCAAUGAUCCAGAACAUAUCUGAGGGACUUAUGAGAAAGAACACUAUCCACAUUCAGAAGAAGAACUGUGGGAGUGGAAAUGCAGAAGAUAAACAACUCCUUCAUUACCUGGGUUGAUGGGGAUAGGAUUGGGGAUGUAGACUCUAAAGGAUCACCCUGGUGCAAAUAUUAAUAAUAUGGAAAUAGGUCUUGAUCAAUGACACAUAUAAAGCCCAGUAGAAUUGCUCGUAAGCUCCAGGAGGGAGAGGAAAAGAACAUGAAUCAUGGAACCAUGGAAAAAUAUUCUAAAUUAAUUAAAUUAUCUCAGGUCUUGCUGACUUCAUGCCUACUAUUUUGUUCAUGGAUCUGAACCUAUGUCCAGUAUUCUUACUACUGUUUCCUUCCCAUUUCCUUAAGAUAAUUUCUCUCUUUUGAUGAAAUUUGGAAUCUUCAUUCUAAGUUACUUUAAUUAAUAGUAGCAUCUAGUAUUAUAUAACACUUUUGAGUGUGCAAAGUACUUUACAUAAAAUUUACAUUUUGUCAUCACAACAACUCAGCUACUUCUUGGCUUCAUCUUUCCAGUGGCAAUAUGAUCUCCAUUUUGCCAGCCCAAUAGAUUCACUUUUUCUGUCCGAGUCUAGCUUUCAAUUCAUUUAAAGGGAAGGAGUGACUGACUGAUCUUAAGCCCAUUGAAACUCCAAGUCAUUUCCAAUGACCAGAACUAUUCAUUUCCCAAGUAUAGUUGUUGUCGUUUUUAAUUUCCAUUUCCCAAGCAUUUUGUGAUCAUUCAGAAUUCACCAGCUUUGGGAAGAGUGUCUUCCAGAAUCCUUCCAUAAGUUUUAUAAUACAAAUAUAGUAUAAUAAUAUAAUAAAAAUAUAAUGUAAUAUUAUAAUAAUAUAAUGCUUUCAGCCUAUAUUCAGAGAGAUUUCCAUCACAGGAAAGUAAGCAUUUAGUGAUGCCCUCCAACAGAAUAGUCAGUGAUUUCUUACUGAAUGCCAUACUCAGGGUCAUGGACUUCUCCCUUCCCUUCUCCUAUAGCUCUUCCCCCUCCCUAAAGACCCACUAGGUCAGCUCUUCACAGAAUUUUUGUACACGGUGUCUAGUUUAGGAUAUAAACCAUAAAAGAAUCGUACUAUUCAGGCACUGUUAAUUACUUGUCACUUAGUUCUCAAAUCAACAUGCCUAUUUCUUUGUUACACCUUUAAAUAAAAAUAUUAACAAUUAAUAAAAUAGCUAGUAUUCAUCAUGGGCAUCUAAAAUAGGUUUGUUUAAAUGCUCUUUUUCCUCCUUUGAGAGUCUAGGCAAUUUAUACUUUUGUAAGUAUUCUUCUAUUUUGCUUACAGUUAAAUUUGUUGCCAUAUAAUUGGGCAAAAUAACUCCUAAAAAUUGCCUUGAUUUCGUCUUCAGUGGUGGUAUGCUGGCCCUAUUUAAUUUAUUUUAAAUGGAAAUAAAUAGUACAUAAUUACACACAUAUAUACAUGGCAGCUAUAGUACAUGAAUAAGUUCAUUUGUAAAAUCUUAUAUGUCUAAGAUUGUAAAAAGUUUUAGAAAUAGAAAUCUAAAAGUAGACUGUACCUAGAACACUAUUUUGUACAUCAGAAACAUUUGGGUUCAAUGAACAUGUGAGAAAUUAAAUCAAAUAUUCAUAGAGAACUCUAUGUGAUGGAGUAAAGAGCAAUAAAGCUUUGAGAUGCA